Molecule: ribosomal RNA, 400 nt
Filed under: Pseudomonas aeruginosa
Lineage: Bacteria; Pseudomonadati; Pseudomonadota; Gammaproteobacteria; Pseudomonadales; Pseudomonadaceae
Description: bacterial SSU rRNA
Rfam family: Bacterial small subunit ribosomal RNA
Source: RNAcentral
GCCUGGUAGUGGGGGAUAACGUCCGGAAACGGGCGCUAAUACCGCAUACGUCCUGAGGGAGAAAGUGGGGGAUCUUCGGACCUCACGCUAUCAGAUGAGCCUAGGUCGGAUUAGCUAGUUGGUGGGGUAAAGGCCUACCAAGGCGACGAUCCGUAACUGGUCUGAGAGGAUGAUCAGUCACACUGGAACUGAGACACGGUCCAGACUCCUACGGGAGGCAGCAGUGGGGAAUAUUGGACAAUGGGCGAAAGCCUGAUCCAGCCAUGCCGCGUGUGUGAAGAAGGUCUUCGGAUUGUAAAGCACUUUAAGUUGGGAGGAAGGGCAGUAAGUUAAUACCUUGCUGUUUUGACGUUACCAACAGAAUAAGCACCGGCUAACUUCGUGCCAGCAGCCGCGGUAA